GACGAACGCUGGCGGCGUGCUUAACACAUGCAAGUCGAACGGAAAGGCCCUGCUUUUGUGGGGUGCUCGAGUGGCGAACGGGUGAGUAACACGUGAGUAACCUGCCCUUGACUUUGGGAUAACUUCAGGAAACUGGGGCUAAUACCGGAUAGGAGCUCCUGCUGCAUGGUGGGGGUUGGAAAGUUUCGGCGGUUGGGGAUGGACUCGCGGCUUAUCAGCUUGUUGGUGGGGUAGUGGCUUACCAAGGCUUUGACGGAUAGCCGGCCUGAGAGGGUGACCGGCGACAUUGGGACUGAGAUACGGCCCAGACGCCUACGGGAGGCAGCAGUGGGGAAUAUUGCACAAUGGGCGGAAGCCUGAUGCAGCAGCGCCGCGUGCGGGAUGACGGCCUUCGGGUUGUAAACCGCUUUCGCCUGUGACGAAGCGUGAGUGACGGUAAUGGGUAAAGAAGCACCGGCUAACUACGUG
RNAcentral lists this ribosomal RNA (468 nucleotides) under uncultured bacterium. Its description in RNAcentral is "partial 16S ribosomal RNA". It matches the Rfam family "Bacterial small subunit ribosomal RNA", at positions 28 to 507 of the family's 1533-position model. The record is from RNAcentral.